RNAcentral lists this transfer RNA (68 nucleotides) under Nacospatangus altus. Its description in RNAcentral is "Nacospatangus alta tRNA-Ser". The record is from RNAcentral. Lineage: Eukaryota; Metazoa; Echinodermata; Echinoidea; Spatangoida; Maretiidae.
GAAAAUCAUGGGUUUGCCUUAGUCCUGCUAAGUCUAAAGGCCUGCGGUUCAAGUCCGUAGGAUUUUCG